This 254-nucleotide ribosomal RNA is filed under the name uncultured bacterium. Its description in RNAcentral is "partial 16S ribosomal RNA". It matches the Rfam family "Bacterial small subunit ribosomal RNA", at positions 524 to 777 of the family's 1533-position model. The record is from RNAcentral.
UACGAAGGGGGCUAGCGUUGCUCGGAAUCACUGGGCGUAAAGCGCACGUAGGCGGCUUUUUAAGUCAGGGGUGAAAUCCUGGAGCUCAACUCCAGAACUGCCUUUGAUACUGGGAAGCUUGAGUCCGGAAGAGGUGAGUGGAACUGCGAGUGUAGAGGUGAAAUUCGUAGAUAUUCGCAAGAACACCAGUGGCGAAGGCGGCUCACUGGUCCGGUACUGACGCUGAGGUGCGAAAGCGUGGGGAGCAAACAGGG